Molecule: long non-coding RNA, 220 nt
Filed under: Ananas comosus (pineapple)
Lineage: Eukaryota; Viridiplantae; Streptophyta; Magnoliopsida; Poales; Bromeliaceae
Description: long non-coding RNA (ACOM_LNC003328)
Source: RNAcentral
UUCGAGACCAGAUGUAAUUAGAAGACCUAUGUUAGUUAAUUCGUGAAUUUUUUAUGAAUUAUUUAUAAAUUAUUGAAAAUUCGAAUAAAAUAGUCUGUAUGUAAUUUUUUUCCCAGGAAAAAAGAAUAAAAAGUGAUUUUUUUGGGCUAGCCGAAUUAUUCGCAAAUUAUUCCCGAAUUAUUCACAAAUUAUUGAAAAUUCAAAUAUUUUUUAUGUUUAA